Molecule: ribosomal RNA, 253 nt
Filed under: uncultured bacterium
Lineage: Bacteria
Description: partial 16S ribosomal RNA
Rfam family: Bacterial small subunit ribosomal RNA
Source: RNAcentral
UACGUAGGGGGCGAGCGUUGUCCGGAUUUAUUGGGCGUAAAGAGCGUGUAGGCGGCCAGGUAGGUCUGCUGUGAAAACUCGAGGCUCAACCUCGAGACGUCGGCGGAAACCAUCUGGCUAGAGUCCGGAAGAGGAGAGUGGAAUUCCUGGUGUAGCGGUGAAAUGCGCAGAUAUCAGGAAGAACACCUAUGGCGAAGGCAGCUCUCUGGGACGGUACUGACGCUGAGGAGCGAAAGCGUGGGGAGCGAACAGG